RNAcentral lists this ribosomal RNA (441 nucleotides) under uncultured bacterium. Its description in RNAcentral is "bacterial SSU rRNA". It matches the Rfam family "Bacterial small subunit ribosomal RNA", at positions 338 to 795 of the family's 1533-position model. The record is from RNAcentral.
CCUACGGGCGGCUGCAGUGAGGGAUAUUGCGCAAUGGGGGAAACCCUGACGCAGCAACGCCGCGUGGGUGAAGAAGGCCUUUGGGUCGUAAAGCCCUUUUCUAGGGGAAGAGCAAGGACUGUACCCUAGGAAUAAGUCCCGGCUAACUACGUGCCAGCAGCCGCGGUAAAACGUAGGGGGCGAGCGUUAUCCGGAUUUACUGGGCGUAAAGCGCGCGCAGGCGGCUUGGUAAGUUGGGCGUGAAAGCUUCCGGCUUAACCGGGAGAGGCCGUUCAAAACUACCAGGCUUGAGGGCGGAAGAGGGGAGUGGAAUUCCCGGUGGAGUGGUAAAAUGCGUAGAUAUCGGGAGGAACACCAGUAGCGAAAGCGGCUCCCUGGUCCGCAACUGACGCUCAGGCGCGAAAGCGUGGGGAGCAAACGGGCUUAGAUACCCGUGUAGUC